UUUGGCGCUUGCUCGCUGGAUGCUCGCCUAACGAGUUUUGAUCUUUUUGGUUCUGUCCAAGUCUGGGAGUGUUCGCUGGCAUCUCGUUGCGUGCUCGCCUAGCGAAUACUUCACUACCUCACUCGCCUAGCGAGCUUGCUUAUGUUUGCUUUCUUUGUUGGUUCCUUUGCCAUCUUUCUUGUGCCUUAGUUUUCUACUCUUUCAUGCCUAAUUCCUGCACAAUAACACACAAAUUAAAGGU
This 241-nucleotide long non-coding RNA is filed under the name Lathyrus oleraceus (garden pea). RNAcentral's name for it is "Pisum sativum (pea) long non-coding RNA (PSAT_LNC020220)". The record is from RNAcentral. Lineage: Eukaryota; Viridiplantae; Streptophyta; Magnoliopsida; Fabales; Fabaceae.